CUUCCCCUGCUGAGUACGAUGAGCGCGGUUUUUAUAAUCCAACACAUGAGUAAAAAGGAGACUGUCUCUGUCCGUGGACUGCAGACCUCCCGGCCCAAAAGCCGGAAGAAGGGAGCGAGAAGCGGAUAGGCGGAAUCCAUUCCUGUCACAAGACGGGUUUUAACUGACUGCGCGACGGCCCUGCGGGGGGAGU
Molecule: non-coding RNA, 193 nt
Filed under: Oscillospiraceae bacterium
Lineage: Bacteria; Bacillati; Bacillota; Clostridia; Eubacteriales; Oscillospiraceae
Description: 6S RNA
Rfam family: 6S / SsrS RNA
About the family: E. coli 6S RNA was the first non coding RNA to be sequenced, but its function was unknown until recently.
Source: RNAcentral